CCGAGGUCGAGGACCUACAGCGGCGGCUGGCCGAGGCUACCCGGCGUGGGGAUGCCCUGGCCCGGCGGCUGGACCAGGCCAACCGCGCCCGCGGGGAGCUGGAGGAGGCACUACGGGCCUGCCAGGGCCGCCAGAGCCGGCUUCAGACGCAACUGAUGACCCUGAAGACUGAGAUUGACGAGGCCAAGGCACAGGGGACCCAGAUGGGGGCUGAGAACGGGGCGCUCACAGAAGCCCUGGCGCGCUGGGAGGCGGCGGCCACGGAGUCUGCGCGGCGGUUGGACGAGGCACAGCAGCGCGCACGCGCGGCCGAGGCCGAAGCCGAAGCUUGCGCGGCCCGGGAGGCGG
This is an RNA transcript of Canis lupus familiaris (dog), 348 nucleotides long. RefSeq lists it as uncharacterized. The transcript has 3 exons. The record is from RefSeq and is a predicted model, not a curated record. Lineage: Eukaryota; Metazoa; Chordata; Mammalia; Carnivora; Canidae.